CGUGAGGAACCUGCCUCAAAGAGGGGGACAACAGUUGGAAACGACUGCUAAUACCGCAUAAGCCCACAGCUCGGCAUCGAGCAGAGGGAAAAGGAGCAAUCCGCUUUGAGAUGGCCUCGCGUCCGAUUAGCUAGUUGGUGAGGUAAUGGCCCACCAAGGCGACGAUCGGUAGCCGGACUGAGAGGUUGAACGGCCACAUUGGGACUGAGACACGGCCCAGACUCCUACGGGAGGCAGCAGUGGGGAAUAUUGCACAAUGGGGGAAACCCUGAUGCAGCGACGCCGCGUGGAGGAAGAAGGUCUUCGGAUUGUAAACUCCUGUUGUUGAGGAAGAUAA
RNAcentral lists this ribosomal RNA (337 nucleotides) under uncultured bacterium. RNAcentral's name for it is "bacterial SSU rRNA". It matches the Rfam family "Bacterial small subunit ribosomal RNA", at positions 116 to 451 of the family's 1533-position model. The record is from RNAcentral.